Molecule: ribosomal RNA, 2983 nt
Filed under: Berberis thunbergii
Lineage: Eukaryota; Viridiplantae; Streptophyta; Magnoliopsida; Ranunculales; Berberidaceae
Description: eukaryotic LSU rRNA
Rfam family: Eukaryotic large subunit ribosomal RNA
Source: RNAcentral
CCCAGGGUCAGGCGGAACUACCCGCUGAGUUUAGGCAUAUCAAUAAGCGGAGGAGAAGAAACUUACAAGGAUCCCCCUAGUAACUGCGUGCGAACCGGGAUUAGCCUAGCUUGAGAAUCGGGCGGCUUUGUUGUCUAAAUUGUAGUCUGUAGAAGCGUCCUUAGCGAUGGACUGAUCCCAAGUCCCCUGGAAGGGGGCAUUGGAGAGGGUGAGAGCCCCAUCGUGUCCGGACCCUGUCGCACCACGAGGCAUUGUCGGCGAGUCAGGUUGUUUGGGAAUGCAGCCGUAAUUGGGCGGUAAAUUCCAUCCAAAGCAAAAUACUGGCGAGAAACCGAUAAUCAACAAGUACGGUGAGGGAAAGAUGAAAAUGACUUUGAAAAGAGUCAAAGAGUGUUUGAAAAUUUUGGGAGGGAAGCAGAUGGGGGCUGGCGAUGCGCCUAGGUCAGAUGCGAAACAGUGUGAGCCGAUUCACCGCUCGACUCUAGACAUGGACCGAUGCAGAUUAUGAUGGUGGUCGAAGCCUGAGCCGUUUACGUGCUUGUGGAUACGUCAUCGUCAUGAUUGUGGUGGGAAGCAUGCGCCUUCGGUGUGCUUAUGGCAACUGCGCGCUCUCGGCAUCGGCUUGUGGGCUCCCUAUUCGGCCCGUCUUGAAACACGAACCAAGGAGUCUGACAUGUGUGCGAUUCAACAGGUAAGUAAACCAGUAAGGCGCAAGGAAGCUUAUUGGUGGGAUCCCCUUGUGGGUUGUACCGCCGACUGACCUACAUAUUUUGACAAGGGUUCGAGUGUGAGCAUACCUGUCAGGGCCAGAAAGAUGGUGAACUAUGCCUGAGCGGGGCGAAGCCUGAGAAAACUCUGGUGGAUGCUCGCAACGAUAUUGAUGUGCAAAUCGUUCGUCUAACUUGGGUAUAGGGGCGAAAGACUAAUCAAACCAUCUAGUAGCUGGCUGCCUCCGAAGUUUCCCUCAGGAUAGCUGGAGCUCGAGCGCGAGUUCUAUUGGGUAAAGCCAAUGAUUAGAGGCAUCAAAGGCUCUACGCCCUUGAUCUAUUCUCAAACUUUAAAUAGGUAGGAUGGUGUGGCUGCUUUGUUGAGCCGUACCAUGGAAUCGAGAGCUCCAAGUGGGCCAUUUAUGGUAAAUAGAACUGGCGAUGCGGGAUGAACCGAAAGCUCAAUUAUGGUGCCCAACUACGCGCUAACCUAGAACCACAAAGGGUGUUGGUCGAUUAAAACAGUAGGAUGGUGGUCAUGGAAGUCGAAAUUCACUAAGGAGUGUGUAACAACUCACCUGCCGAUCCUAAGAGUCUGGGUAACCUCGUCUGAGAGCGCAAACUGCUUGAACUUCAAAAAGGAAUUGGGUUAAAAUUCCUAACCCGGGAUGCGGCAUUUAGCGGCAACGUUAGGAAGUCUGGAUACGUCGGCGGGGCCUCAGGAAAAGUUGUCUUUUCUGUUUAACAGCUUGCCCCCCCUGGAAAUGGCUCAGGCGAAACUAGGGUCUAGUGGCUGGAAGAGCACCGCACGUCGAGUGUUGUUCAGUGAGCACCCCAAAGCCCUUGAAAAAUUGAAAGACCAAGUGUCAAUCGCGCCCGGUCGUACUCAUAACUGCAUUAGGUCUCCAAGGUGAACAUCCUCUGGUCAAUAGAAUAAUGUAGGCAAGGGAAGUCAACAAAAUGGAUCCGUAACCUUGGGAAAAGGAUUGGCUCUGAGGAUUGGGCUUGGGGGGUUCUUGUCCCGAACCUGUCUGAUGUUGGUGGACUGCUCGAGCAGCUUUUGCUGGCGUCAAACAGUCGCUUCAGAACUGUGUGCCGACUGGGGCAUGGAUUGGGAAUGGUCCCUUUGGGGUCCCUCCCCGUUUGUCAAACAGUCGACUCAAAACUGGUACGGACAACGGGAAUCCGACUAUUUAAUUAAAACAAAGCAUUGCGAUGGUCCUUACGGAUGCUAACGCAAUGUGAUUUUUGCCUUGUGCUCUGAAUGUCAAAGUGAAAAAAUUCAACACAGCGAGAUUAACUAUGACUCUCUUAAGGUAGCCAAAUGCCUCAUCAUCUAAUAAGUGACGCGCAUGAAUGGAUUAACGAGAUUCCCACUGUUUUUGUCAACUAUCCAGCGAAACCACAGCCAAGGGAACAAGCUUGGUAGAAUCAGCGGGGAAAGAAGACCCUGUUGAGCUUGACUCUAGUCCGACUUUGAAAUACCACUACUUUUAAAGUUAUUUUACUUACUCCGUGAGUCGGAAGGGGGGCAUUUCUCUUCUUUUUGGAUACAAGGGUCGUCUCGGUGGCCCGAUCCGGGCAGAAGACAUUGUCGGGUAAGGAGUUUGGCUGGGACGACACAUCUGUUAAAAGAUAACGCAGAUGUCCUAAGAUGAGCUCAACGAGAACAAAAAUCUCGUGUGGAACAUAAGGGUAAAACUCGUUUGAUUCUGAUUUACAGUACGAAUACGAACCGUGAAAGCGUGGCCUAUCGAUCUUUUAGGACCUUCGAAAUUAUAAGCUAGAGGUGUCAGAAAAGUUAUCACAGGAAUAACUGGCUUGUGGCAGCCAAAUGUUAAUAGCGACAUUGCUUUUUGAUCCUUCGAUGUCGGCUCUUCCUAUCAUUGUGGAGCAGAAUUCACCAAGUGUUGGAUUGUUCACCCACCAAUAGGGAAUGUGAGCUGGGUUUAGACCACUGUGAGACAGGUUAGGUUUACCCUACUUAUGAUAGUGUAGCGAUAGUAAUUAAAUCUAGUACGAGAGGAACCGUUGAUUCACACAAUUGGUCAUCGCGGUUGGUUGAAAAGCUAGUGGCACAAAGCUACUGUGUGCAGGAUUAUGACUGCCGACCUGCAGUAGGGGCCUUUAGGUUCCCAAAGGCACGUGUCAUUGGUAAAGCUCCACGAUGGAUGAGUCACAAGGGCAGCCUUGAAGUACAAUUUCCACCGAAUGGUGGGUAUAAUCUUUUUGCAGACGACUUAAAUACGCGACGGGGUAUUGUAAGUGGCAGAGUG